CCCUCGAUAGCUCAGUUGGCAGAGCGGAGGACUGUAGUUGUUACAACGGUGAUCCUUAGGUCACUGGUUCAAAUCCGGCUCGAGGGA
Molecule: transfer RNA, 87 nt
Filed under: Cordylochernes scorpioides
Lineage: Eukaryota; Metazoa; Arthropoda; Arachnida; Pseudoscorpiones; Chernetidae
Description: tRNA-Tyr
Rfam family: tRNA
About the family: Transfer RNA (tRNA) molecules are approximately 80 nucleotides in length. Their secondary structure includes four short double-helical elements and three loops (D, anti-codon, and T loops). Further hydrogen bonds mediate the characteristic L-shaped molecular structure. tRNAs have two regions of fundamental functional importance: the anti-codon, which is responsible for specific mRNA codon recognition, and the 3' end, to which the tRNAs corresponding amino acid is attached (by aminoacyl-tRNA synthetases). tRNAs cope with the degeneracy of the genetic code in two manners: having more than one tRNA (with a specific anti-codon) for a particular amino acid; and 'wobble' base-pairing, i.e. permitting non-standard base-pairing at the 3rd anti-codon position.
Source: RNAcentral